RNAcentral lists this ribosomal RNA (301 nucleotides) under uncultured bacterium. RNAcentral's name for it is "partial 16S ribosomal RNA". It matches the Rfam family "Bacterial small subunit ribosomal RNA", at positions 509 to 809 of the family's 1533-position model. The record is from RNAcentral.
CAGUCGCCGCGGUAAUACGAAGGGGGCUAGCGUUGUUCGGAUUUACUGGGCGUAAAGCGCACGUAGGCGGACUUUUAAGUCAGGGGUGAAAUCCCGGGGCUCAACCCCGGAACUGCCUUUGAUACUGGGAGUCUUGAGUUCGAGAGAGGUGAGUGGAGUUGCGAGUGUAGAGGUGAGAUUCGUAGAUAUUCGCAAGAACACCAGUGGCGAAGGCGGCUCACUGGCCCGGUACUGACGCUGAGGCGCGAAAGCGUGGGGAGCAAACAGGAUUAGAUACCCCAGUAGUCCCUGUCUCUUAUAA